CGGUAAUUCCAGCUCCAAUAGCGUAUACUAAAGUUGUUGCAGUUAAAAAGCUCGUAGUUGGAUUUCUGCGGGGACGGAGCGGCCGGACGCAACUUGCGUCUCGAGCUAGCGCUUUCCCCGCAUCCUGCCGCGAACCGUGCUACCAUUAGUUUGGUGGCGCUGGGGAUCGGCUCGAUUACUUUGAGAAAAAUAGAGUGUUCAAAGCAGGCCACACGCCUUGAAUAAGUUAGCAUGGAAUAAUGACUAAGGACUUUGGUUCUUUUCGUUGGUGUUCGGGACUGAAGUAAUGAUUGAUAGGGACAGUUGGGGCGGUCCGUAUUCCAAAGCGAGAGGUGAAAUUCUUAGACCUUCGGAAGACGAACAGCUGCGAAAGCGUUCCGCAAGGAUGUUCCCUUUGAUCAAGAACGAAAGUUGGGGGAUCGAAGACGAUCAGAUACCGUCGUAGUCUCAACUAUAAACUAUACCAGCUAGGGAUCGGCCAACGUUUAAUUAUUCGACUUGGUCGGCACCUUAUGAGAAAUCAAAGCAUCUGGGUUCCGGGGGGAGUAUGGUCGCAAGGCUGAAACUUAAAGGAAUUGACGGAAGGGCACCACCAGCCGUGGAGCCUGUGGCUUAAUUUGACUCAACACGGGAAAACUUACCAGGUCCAGACAUAGGAAGGAUUGACAGAUUGAUAGCUCUUUCUUGAUUCUGUGGGUGGUGGUGCAUGGCCGUUUUUAGUCGGUGAAGUGAUUUGUCUGCUUAAUUGCGUUAACGGACGAGACCCCAGCCUGCUAAAUAGCGCGGCCGAGCUUUGCUCGGUGCGAGCUUCUUAGAGGGACCAUGAUACGCGAUAGCACAAGGAAGUUUGGGGCAACAACAGGUCUGUGAUGCCCUUAGAUGUUCUGGUCCGCACACGGGCUACACUGGCGCCUGCAACGAGCAUAUCAGCUGGCCCGAGAGGGUCUUGGCUAAUCUUUGGAACCGGCGCCGUGCUUGGGAUUGACCAUUGCAAUUGUUGGUCAUGCAACGAGGAAUGCCUUGUAAACGCGAGUCAUCAGCUCGCAUUGAAUACGUCCCUGCCCUUUGUACACACCGCCCGUCGCUCCUACCGAUGAAUGUUCCGAUGAAAUUUUCGGAGAGCGCCAAAGAACGGGGCUCUGCCUUGCAGAUCUGGAGGCUCAAAGUCACUUAAAUCUGAACAUUUCGAGGAAGGAGAAGUCGUAACAAGGUAACC
RNAcentral lists this ribosomal RNA (1216 nucleotides) under uncultured Rhizaria. RNAcentral describes it as "SSU rRNA". It matches the Rfam family "Eukaryotic small subunit ribosomal RNA", at positions 577 to 1804 of the family's 1831-position model. The record is from RNAcentral.